GUGUGUGGCACUAAUGGGACCAAGUCAUUCAUUCUGUUCCAGUGGGCUGGCACACUGAGUUCUUCUACUCUGCUGAGAUGGCCCAGUCUUGGUCAACCUGGUAUGAGGCUGCUUGGCCAUUAGCAAAAGGGAAGGACAGAGGACACAGCGCAACCUAACAGUGCUUUGAAAGAACAACUAAGUGGACGCCUUCAACUGAAUGUGGGUUCAAAACAAAUCUGUCUUUUUCCUACUGGGAUAUGAUUGGAUAAAAAAAAAAUUGUAACAGAGACCAUGCCAAAAAUGUCAUUCAAAAACCAGCCUCAUUUAAUGAGGUACAAGAAGCUCACUAUUACGAAACAAAGACUACACUUCAAUAUGUGGAAACAGUGCCUACAAAAUCCUCCCAGAAAACUGACCUUGUACCUGCUCUGUGGCGAGGGAAGUCUCAGCCUUGCAGGUAAUACAGAAUGCUGCUUCCUGCAGCCCAGGAUACCGGCAGACUUGGAGUCUCAGAGAAAGGAGAACACCCCAGCUAUACAGCUACUGCAGGUAAAGCUUGGAAGAGGCAAACUGGAUGCCUUUUGUUCCUGGGCAUAGAAAGUCCAGGUGGAUGACAGCGAUUUAAAUACUCCUGAAACGCUGGUGUGAUCAAAGAAUGCUAGGGGCUUUAUGAAGCCUCCAGACAGAUGCUAAGUCUUCAAGCAUUAGUAUCACAUGAUGUUCGUUUUUUUUUUUUAAACCACACAAUGAAGAAAUCUUUGCAUAUUCCUCAACACCUCCUGGGGCUCCUGUGUAAGUUAAAACUAGCCAAAUAGGAAAAACCCACCAUGUUAAUGAUAUGAAUUAGAAAAUUGUUCAACAAACCUGUAUGGUCAAGUCUGUCUUCAGGGGCAGGAACUGGCAAAGCAAGCAGGAAUGAUACUUGCCCUGCUGCCCUCUUGGUUAGCACAUCAGGUACCACUGUCACAACCACCCCCACCCCCAACCCCAAACAAACAAAAAAGAAACACUGGACAUUUGGCAUCCCUGAAUAAACUAAAAAUAAAAGGCAGGCACAUUCUGUAUAACACCAGCCUCUGAAUGAAGACUCGCGCCCUCCGGGUAAGAUGCUAACAACCUAAUAAAAACCGCCCUAUUCCUGA
Non-coding RNA from Vicugna pacos (alpaca), 1124 nucleotides. NCBI's taxonomy places the organism in Eukaryota, Metazoa, Chordata, Mammalia, Artiodactyla, Camelidae. The record is from RefSeq and is a predicted model, not a curated record.